GGGAGUUUGGCCGAGUGGUUAAGGCGCCGUGUUUAGGUAUUCUCCAGAGUUUCUCUUGGUUUACUACAAACCCGCGGUGGGAAACCGCGCAGGUUCGAAUCCUGCAGCUCUCA
This 113-nucleotide transfer RNA is filed under the name Nemania diffusa. RNAcentral's name for it is "tRNA-Leu". It matches the Rfam family "tRNA". From Rfam's summary of the family: Transfer RNA (tRNA) molecules are approximately 80 nucleotides in length. Their secondary structure includes four short double-helical elements and three loops (D, anti-codon, and T loops). Lineage: Eukaryota; Fungi; Ascomycota; Sordariomycetes; Xylariales; Xylariaceae. The record is from RNAcentral.